Molecule: transfer RNA, 73 nt
Filed under: Candidatus Nanopelagicus abundans
Lineage: Bacteria; Bacillati; Actinomycetota; Actinomycetes; Candidatus Nanopelagicales; Candidatus Nanopelagicaceae
Also listed under: 1 other name
Rfam family: tRNA
About the family: Transfer RNA (tRNA) molecules are approximately 80 nucleotides in length. Their secondary structure includes four short double-helical elements and three loops (D, anti-codon, and T loops).
Source: Rfam by way of RNAcentral
GCGCCCGUAGCUCAACGGAUAGAGCAUCUGACUUCGGAUCAGAAGGUUCGGGGUUCGAAUCCCUGCGGGCGCA